AGAGUUUGAUCCUGGCUCAGGAUGAACGCUAGCUACAGGCUUAGCACAUGCAAGUCGAGGGGAAACGACAUCGAAAGCUUGCUUUUGAUGGGCGUCGACCGGCGCACGGGUGAGUAACGCGUAUCCAACCUGCCCAUCACUUGGGGAUAACCUUGCGAAAGUAAGACUAAUACCCAAUGAUAUCUCUAGAAGACAUCUGAAAGAGAUUAAAGAUUUAUCGGUGAUGGAUGGGGAUGCGUCUGAUUAGCUUGUUGGCGGGGUAACGGCCCACCAAGGCUACGAUCAGUAGGGGUUCUGAGAGGAAGGUCCCCCANAUUGGAACUGAGACACGGUCCAAACUCCUACGGGAGCA
RNAcentral lists this ribosomal RNA (352 nucleotides) under uncultured bacterium. Its description in RNAcentral is "bacterial SSU rRNA". It matches the Rfam family "Bacterial small subunit ribosomal RNA", at positions 8 to 349 of the family's 1533-position model. The record is from RNAcentral.